This 466-nucleotide ribosomal RNA is filed under the name uncultured bacterium. RNAcentral's name for it is "partial 16S ribosomal RNA". It matches the Rfam family "Bacterial small subunit ribosomal RNA", at positions 28 to 507 of the family's 1533-position model. The record is from RNAcentral.
GAUGAACGCUGGCGGCGUGCUUAACACAUGCAAGUCGAACGGAAAGGCCACAGCUUGCUGUUGUACUCGAGUGGCGAAAGGGUGAGUAACACGUGGGUGAUCUGCCCUGUACUUCGGGAUAAGCUUGGGGAACUGGGACUAAUACCGGAUAGGAAUCACCUGUGGGUGUGUGGUUGGAGAGCUUUUGCGGUAUGGGAUGAGCUCGCGGCCUAUCAGCUUGUUGGUGGGGUAAUGGCCUACCAAGGCGUCGACGGGUAGCCGGCCUGAGAGGGUGUACGGCCACAUUGGGACUGAGAUACGGCCCAGACUCCUACGGGAGGCAGCAGUGGGGAAUAUUGCACAAUGGGCGCAAGCCUGAUGCAGCGACGCCGCGUGGGGGAUGACGGCCUUCGGGUUGUAAACUCCUUUCGGCAGGGACGAAGCGAAAGUGACGGUACCUGGAUAAGAAGCACCGGCUAACUACGUG